CAAAAGUUUGGUCCUAACUUUACUGUCGCCUAAAGCUAGAUUUACACAUGUAAGUAUCCGCACUCCAGUGAGAAUGCCCUUAACUCUCUUAUGAGAUAAAGGAGCAGGUAUCAGGCACGCACUACUGCCCACAACACCUUGCUUAGCCACACCCUCAAGGGAAUUCAACAGUGAUAGACAUUAAGCCAUAAGUGCAAACUUGACUUAGUCAAAGCUUUUUAGGGCCGGUAAAACUCGUGCCAGCCACCGCGGUUAUACGAGAGGCUCAAGCUGACAGAAUUCGGCGUAAAGAGUGGUUAGGAGUAAAAAAAAUUAAAGCUAAACCCCUUCAAAGCCGUUAUACGCAUUCGAAGACCUGAAAUCCCAUUACGAAAGUGGCUUUAAUCCCCUGAACCCACGAAAGCUAUGGAACAAACUGGGAUUAGAUACCCCACUAUGCAUAGCCGUAAACAUUGAUUCAUCUUACCCUUAAUCCGCCCGGGGACUACAAGUAUUAACUUAAAACCCAAAGGACUUGGCGGUGCUUUAGACCCACCUAGAGGAGCCUGUUCUAGAACUGAUAACCCCCGUUAAACCUCACCCUCCCUUGUUAUUCCCGCCUAUAUACCGCCGUCGUCAGCUUACCCUUUGAGGGCAUCAAAGUGAGCAUAAUUGGCACACCCCAAAACGUCAGGUCGAGGUGUAGUACAUGGGAGGGGAAGAAAUGGGCUACAUUCGUCCACCGACGAACAACGAAUGAUCUAUUGAAAUAUAGACCUAAAGGAGGAUUUAGUAGUAAAAGGAAAACAGAGUGUUCCUUUGAAAACAGCUCUGAAGCGCGCACACACCGCCCGUCACUCUCCCCUAGAACUCAAACAGCAUAACUAAUACAAGACUAUCUAAAGGGGAGGCAAGUCGUAACAUGGUAAGUGUACCGGAAGGUGCACUUGGAAUA
Molecule: non-coding RNA, 934 nt
Organism: Syngnathoides biaculeatus (alligator pipefish)
Lineage: Eukaryota; Metazoa; Chordata; Actinopteri; Syngnathiformes; Syngnathidae
Source: the annotation of a RefSeq genome assembly